CUCUCUCUCUCUCUCCAUUAUCCUCUUCUCUCUCUCCCGUCCCCCACGCCUCUCCUUGUUCCCAGCCUCUUCUCUCUCUCUCUCUCCCUUAUCCUCUUCUCUCUCUCCCGUCCCCCACGCCUCUCCUUGUUCCCAGCCAAGAUCCACCUCCACCUACCGCCGUUCCCCAAGCCGCUGACGAGCACCAGGCAGCCAACGCCAUGGACGGCUGCGGAGCUUCGCGCCACCCGACGUCAACCGCAUCGCCGCCCCAAGGGAUCCGUGCGCGUGGCCGCGUUGAGCCGCACAUGCGCUAGAUCCAUCCGCCGGUGUGUGCCACCGUAGCAACAGGUUCGGCAAUGACUCUCGGCCCUGCCGCUUCAUUGCUCCUUCCCAAGCCGGCCUCCACUUUCUGACCCCGCCACCGGCGAGCUGUCAUGCCCGUCCUCGUCGCACUGGUGCUGUCCUCCAGUAUGCUUGCUGGCUGCGACCAGAGCCCUGUAUAUAUUUGGUUCGGUUGCAGUGCUGCUACUUCCCGGUGGAUCUAGGCUGCCCAGGCUAGCAACGUGUGUGUUGCUUUCUUGAUGGGUUUUAAGUGGAUCUUAAUUUGAUGUAUCCUGGCACUUGUCCGUGUGUAAAUCUGAUGUGUAGAACACUUAGAAGUUGCUACUCGUAGGAUAUUCUUGCUCGUAUGUGUACACAUGAAGAAUGGCUAGCUUGUAGAUCCGUUUUCUUUUUGUUAAAGAAAUAUACAUUCAUUUUUAUUGGA
This is a long non-coding RNA of Triticum aestivum (bread wheat), 748 nucleotides long. RefSeq lists it as uncharacterized. The transcript has 2 exons. The record is from RefSeq and is a predicted model, not a curated record. NCBI's taxonomy places the organism in Eukaryota, Viridiplantae, Streptophyta, Magnoliopsida, Poales, Poaceae.